AGUGACGAUAGCCUAGGAGAUACACCUGUUCCCAUGCCGAACACAGAAGUUAAGCCCUAGCACGCCUGAUGUAGUUGGGGG
RNAcentral lists this ribosomal RNA (81 nucleotides) under Streptococcus infantarius subsp. infantarius. Lineage: Bacteria; Bacillati; Bacillota; Bacilli; Lactobacillales; Streptococcaceae. The record is from RNAcentral.